RNAcentral lists this long non-coding RNA (651 nucleotides) under Gallus gallus (chicken). RNAcentral describes it as "long non-coding RNA NONGGAT004511". Lineage: Eukaryota; Metazoa; Chordata; Aves; Galliformes; Phasianidae. The record is from RNAcentral.
GCUUUAACCGAUGGAAGUCCCAUGAAAUGAAGCUUUAGGAUUUCUGUGGUAAUGAUGCUGAAGGAAAAAAAAAAGCAGUGGGGGGGCUCCAAGCAGGAAUAGAGGCAGUACAGAGAGACCAGAGAACUGCUUCUGCAGUUACUGAAAUGAAUGGAGUAAAGCAAAACCAAAUAAAUAACUCUGAGGGGCUGAGGCUUUCCUGUCCCCGGGUGUUCCUCCAGGCAAAGCGCCAGAGGAAGAGGAGCAGCAUGGAGAGACUUCCAAAGAUAUGAGACAUGAGGCACAGUGACAGAAUCAUGAAAUGUUGUGAGCACCAUAAGCAAAGCAGGAUGGCCAUGGCUGAAGUCUCAGUGAAUUUCUCAUGUGUGGGACUCCUGUGUUACUGCAGCCCUGGAAAAUCCCCUUCUGCCAGUGUGCAUCCUUUCUACAUCACCACAGACUGCCCAGCAUGUUCCCCAGACCUCCAUCUAUUGAGAUGACCUGGCACAGCUAAAAGCCCUUAGCACACAAAAGCCGAGCCUUGGGAUCUGCGCUCCUUCAAAGAAUGCAAUACAUUAAGAGAAACCAGGAAUGUGCGCUAGGCCUGGGGAUGCUGCUUUGAAGAAAGAUUUCCUUCAAAACAGAGAUUCAAUUCACAGCAAGGGAGGCACC